GGAUGAAGACACUUUGCUUCCAAGCCUGAUGACUAAGUUUGUCCCUGGAACCUACUCAGCAGAAAGAGAUCCAACUCGUAAAAGAUCUCCUAAACGUACACAGGUGCUCUGCAUUGUACAUGCAUGUGAGCAAGCACACACACACACACACACACACACACACACACACACGGGGGGGGGCUAUAAAUGCUCACAAAACACAUAUACAAUAAAUGUCAUAUAUUUUUAAAUAUUUAUUUAAAAAAUUAAUCUCUCCUGUUUGAAAAGUCCAAACUGGAACCAGCACUCUACUUGUCAGAUUCCUGGUGACUCCGCCUGCACUGGCCUACCCACUUAAUCUCUUCAGUUUAGCUUCAUAUCGUCUCUGACUCCAGGACAGCAGAGCAAUGCUUGAGGUGCUCACGUCAUAUCCAGCAUGUGCCAACUCUCUGAUGCGAGUUUUUAAAGUAUGUAUGCUCAAGUCUAAUACCCUUGAAGUUUCAAGUAUUUGUGAAGUACUGAUUUUCUCUUCUAAGAGGCAGUCUAUUUUAUCAUUGAACUUUUUCUCUGACAAGAAGAUCAUAUUCAGAUAGCUUAGGACAAACUUCUGUACCUCCUCCUCAGUGCAUCCGAGAGAGAGCAGCCUCUUUGAUGUUUGUAUAGUUUCUUUUGGUACAGUCCUUGGAAAGGUCUAAGAUUCUGGCUCCUGGACCACAUACCAGAAGCAGCAGGUCCUCUCUGACUAAGUUGAAAGUUGACUGUAAAAAUUCAAUGUUAAUUUUCACACGUUUGGUACUCUGAAUUAAGACGGAAGGAUUUUUACUAAUUACCUUCCAGACAAAAAUUUGUGGGAACGUUGUGACGUAAGGAUAUGCUGGUUUCCUGCAAAUAUUCAACCAUUUGUUUAUUCAAAUUCAGACUGUUGGAGAAGGUCCUGGGAGCACUGGUCAACAGUCGGCAGAGGCAUUUAUGAGUCAAGCCAACAGAGCAGAGGAACUUUAUGUUAUUCUCUAAGUUUAGGUUGUUAUUAGACAGAAAGAAGGAUUCAGGAGAACACUCCAAACUAUUUACAAUUUCAAGGUCUGAUGCCAUAAUCUCUCUCCACAGAUCCCACCGUUUUGAAAGACUUUCAGGAGUGCGUGUUAUGGCUCGUGGAUAUCUUGAUAUGAUGCUACCAAUCACUUUGUCACUUGCUCUUUGAAUAGAAGGAACAUCUUCAGCUCCUGCUCAUUCGUAAAACUCCAGGCUGUCCUCUGCCAUGUCGAGAUCAACUGGCAUUGAUGAGGGUGGUAAAGACUGUGAUCUCUUAGCUCUCUCCUCCUGUGGCCAUACCUCCCUGUCCCAUGUCUUCUUGUCAUGUUGGAUUCUUACUCUCUACAAUGAACCCAAAGACCAUCAGGAGCCAAUUCUGAAGCAAACACAUAAGCAACUUUAUUACAAGUUUGGGAGCAAGGACUUUCACCAUCAUCUUUGUGGAGGAGGGUCAGAAGUGAGAGCUCUAGUCUAGGGGUUCAAGGAACUCAGGACUGAGAGCAUGCCAGGGAACUCACUGAACAUAGCCUUCCAGAGAAACUCUUGAACAUACCUAUGAGAAUAUGCAUCCAACGAGGUCCAAGGCAACUUCCUUUGUAAUAACAAAACAAAAGGAAAAUAAACGCAAAUGUUCAUGAAAAACAGAUUGGAAGAGGCCAAAUAUAAAGGUGGAAGUCAAGAGGUGAACUGAGAGAUGUAAACUGGCCUAGUCCACUGAGAAGAUCAAAGAGAAGAAAUUGAAG
Long non-coding RNA from Rattus norvegicus (Norway rat), 1754 nucleotides. NCBI's taxonomy places the organism in Eukaryota, Metazoa, Chordata, Mammalia, Rodentia, Muridae. The record is from Ensembl.